ACGGAGGAUCCGAGCGUUAUCCGGAUUUACUGGGUUUAAAGGGUGCGUAGGCGGGCGGUUAAGUCAGCGGUGAAAUGCGGGGGCUCAACCUUCGAACGGCCGUUGAUACUGGGCGGCUGGGAUUCGGUCGAGGCGGCCGGAAUGUGUCAUGUAGCGGUGAAAGGCUUAGAGAUGUCGCAGAACGCCGAUGGCGAAGGCAGCUCGCCGGGCCGUUAGUGACGCUGAGGCACGAAAGCGUGUGGAUCGAACAG
This 251-nucleotide ribosomal RNA is filed under the name uncultured prokaryote. RNAcentral describes it as "partial 16S rRNA". It matches the Rfam family "Bacterial small subunit ribosomal RNA", at positions 525 to 775 of the family's 1533-position model. The record is from RNAcentral.